This 565-nucleotide ribosomal RNA is filed under the name uncultured bacterium. RNAcentral describes it as "bacterial SSU rRNA". It matches the Rfam family "Bacterial small subunit ribosomal RNA", at positions 338 to 916 of the family's 1533-position model. The record is from RNAcentral.
CCUACGGGAGGCAGCAGCAGGGAAUAUUGCGCAAUGAGCGAAAGCUUGACGCAGCGACACCGCGUGUGGGAUGACGGAUCUAGGUUUGUAAACCACUUUCAGGAGGGAAGAAAAUGACGGUACCUCCACAAGAAGCCCCGGCCAACUACGUGCCAGCAGCCGCGGUAAUACGUAGGGGGCGAGCGUUGUCCGGAUUUAUUGGGCGUAAAGAGCUCGUAGGCGGUUCAACAAGUCGGUCGUAAAAGUUCAGGGCUCAACCCUGAAAUGUCGAUCGAUACUGUUGUGACUAGGAUACGGUAGAGGUGAGUGGAAUUCCGAGUGUAGCGGUGAAAUGCGUAGAUAUUCGGAGGAACACCAAUUGCGAAGGCAGCUCACUGGGCCGCUAUCGACGCUGAGGAGCGAAAGCUAGGGGAGCAAACAGGAUUAGAUACCCUGGUAGUCCUAGCUGUAAACGAUGGAUACUAGACGUAGGAACUGGAUUGACGGUUUCUGUGUCGUAGCUAACGCGUUAAGUAUCCCGCCUGGGGAGUACGGUCGCAAGACUAAAACUCAAAKGAAUUGACGG